AACACACAACUUAUUUAUACCAAGUCCUUACACAUUGCCACAAAGAAGCAUAAUACAAAUACUACUUCACACUUAUUUGCUUAAAAUCCUGAAUCCGCAGCUUGUUGAUGCUCAGCUGAAGUUGCAGAUAUAUCUCAAGAUACUUAAAACACACUUAUUUAUACCGACUCCUUGCACAUUGGCAUAAAGGAGCACUAAUACAUUACUAUUUCACACGAACCAACUUUAAAAUCCUGAAUCCGCCUCCAAAUGUGCUGGAACACAUUUUUCCUUCACCAGCUAAUGUCUGGCUUAUGGCAGUUCCUUGUUAGGCAGAGCACUUCAUUCCUGCAGACUUCCCAUGUUAGAAGCCUUCUCAUUUUUCAUAAUGGCAUGGAAUAAUGUAGCUCGAUCCUCCUCAACGAUUUCUCUCAAUAAUUCAUCUUCAAUUUUUGGUGCUUGCCAGUGAGAAGGGUCCUCCACAAGGUCUUCACUGAAUAUCAUGCUUGAUACCCAUUCUUUCCAUGUUGUUCUUUUGUAUUUCUCCUCUUCCAGUGUGCCCGUUGCCAGAAGCUGGUAGACAUAGACAACUUUGUCCUGACCAGGACGAAAAGCCCGUGCAAUGGCUUGCUUGCUCUUGGAAGGAUUCCACUCCGAAUCCAGUAAUAUUACACGUGAUGCUGCGGUCAAGCUAAUGCCUUCUGCACAAGUUGUAAUGGAUGCCAACAUAACCUUUGAUGGUCCACCUGGCUCCUCAAAUAGAUCCAUUAUCCUUCCUCUUUGAAAAAGCUCAAUGUCACCUUGAAGCACCAGUACUUCAAUGCCCUUUCUCCACCCAUAGAACCUCUCAAAUAUCUCCAGAAAAAGAUUAAUUGGAGCAAUAUUGUGGCAAAAUAUCAAAACCUUUUCUCUCCUGAGGAGACAACGAGGAAUUAGGCUCAUCACAAAUUUGACUUUCGAACCCAGCUUCAGAUCAAACUUGAAUUUCUGGAGAGCCUCCAGCUCCUCUUCCUUGAAGUACUGGCUAGAACAUGCUGUCGUUCUGAUCAACCAAGGAUGGAUUGCACCAAGGGUAAUCAACAGCUCUAACUCCAGAGGAAAUCCUUUAUAGAUGGGCCUUUGAUUUUGAAGCUUCACCAAGAUCUCUUGUUGAAGAGUAGUUGAUUUCAUCAUCAAGGUGUAACAUUGUAAACCAGGAAGGUUAUCAGAUGUUCCACCAUCAUGCACAUCUAUGAAUCCACCUGUUAGUUUCUUCAAUAUGUUUAGGCCUUCUUUCCUUUUCUUGGGGAUGUCUGAAUCAAUGACAGUUGAAAUUUUAUCAAUAAACAUCUUUCUUGCUCGAUUUUCCAAUGAAAAGCGCGAUGCACCUUUGUUUUUGUUCUUGUACUUGGGAUCAAGCUCCUUCAAGACCUCAUCAACAAAAGUUGGCCUUGCUAAGGUAAGUGUAUUGAAAUACUCUCCAAAAUUAUUCUGAAAUAAUGUACCAGAAAGUAAAAUCCUAAGCCGUGUAUUGACCUUCAUUAGACCCUUUCUUAACCGGGAUUUUGUACUUCUUGGGUUGUGCCCUUCAUCAAGUAUUAGUAGCCCUGGACACUGCCGCAACACCUGAGCCAUAUAUUUCCUAUGCGCAUAAGGUGAAUCUUCCCGUGUCAGUGUUAAGAAAGAGGUGUAACCCAUGAGGAGAACACUUGGUUGCGAAAGCCACAUCUGCAUUUUCUCAAGGCAGUCCAAGACAUGCAUGACAUCUUGGUUGCGAGGAAGACCAGGACAUAAUUUCACCUUUUCCCUUAGAACCUCUCCCUUAAAGGUUUGACCACCAUGAAUUUGGUAGACUGGCACAGGAAUCUUCCACUUCAGUACUUCUUUGUACCAGGUGUAGAGUGUUGUCUUGGGAGCAAGG
This 1879-nucleotide unclassified non-coding RNA is filed under the name Hevea brasiliensis (rubber tree). The record is from RNAcentral. Lineage: Eukaryota; Viridiplantae; Streptophyta; Magnoliopsida; Malpighiales; Euphorbiaceae.